This 709-nucleotide small RNA is filed under the name Pan troglodytes (chimpanzee). Its description in RNAcentral is "retained intron". The record is from RNAcentral. Lineage: Eukaryota; Metazoa; Chordata; Mammalia; Primates; Hominidae.
GGAUAUGAUUUCACGUCGUACUCGCCUGGCCUUUCUAAAUGUCCAGGCAGCAGAGGAAGCCCUACCCAGGAUUGUUGAACUGAUGGGCAGGGAACUGAAUUGGGAUGAUUAUAAGAAGCAGGAACAACUUGAAACAGCCAGGAAGUUUCUAUAUUAUGAAAUGGGCUAUAAAUCUCGAUCAGAACAGUUAACAGAUCGCUCUGAAAUUAGCCUACUGCCUUCAGACAUUGACAGGUACUUAUAAUAAGUGUCUAUCUCUCUUUUUUUUUGGCCUAUGUAAGUAUAUUUUUCCAUUAUUUAAUCUUGUGUUCCAGGUAUAAGAAGAGAUUUCAUAAGUUUGAUGCAGACCAGAAAGGCUUUAUUACCAUUGUUGAUGUUCAGCGUGUAUUAGAGAGUAUCAAUGUCCAAAUGGAUGAAAAUACACUCCAUGAAAUUCUAAAUGAAGUUGAUUUGAAUAAAAAUGGACAGGUUGAACUCAAUGAAUUUUUGCAGCUGAUGAGUGCUAUUCAAAAAGGAAGGGUAUCUGGAAGCCGACUUGCUAUACUAAUGAAAACUGCAGAAGAGAACCUCGACAGAAGAGUUCCAAUUCCAGUGGACCGUAGUUGUGGAGGAUUGUGAGUCUGGGCAGUAAAUCCACAGCCAACAAACAUAGAAACGACAAAUCACCAUGUAACAACCAGAGAUGACUGAAACCACUCUAAAAUAAUGA